RNAcentral lists this ribosomal RNA (939 nucleotides) under Inosperma apiosmotum. Its description in RNAcentral is "LSU rRNA". It matches the Rfam family "Eukaryotic large subunit ribosomal RNA", at positions 34 to 957 of the family's 3401-position model. Lineage: Eukaryota; Fungi; Basidiomycota; Agaricomycetes; Agaricales; Inocybaceae. The record is from RNAcentral.
UUAAGCAUAUCAAUAAGCGGAGGAAAAGAAACUAACAAGGAUUCCCUUAGUAACUGCGAGUGAAGAGGGAAAAGCUCAAAUUUGUAAUCUGGCGGUCUUUGGCCGUCCGAGUUGUAAUCUAGAGAAGUGCUACCUGCGCUGGACCAUGUACAAGUCUCCUGGAAUGGAGCAUCAUAGAGGGUGAGAAUCCCGUCUUUGACAUGGACUGCCAGAGCUUAUAGGUGCACUCUCAAAGAGUCGAGUUGUUUGGGAAUGCAGCUCAAAAUGGGUGGUAAAUGCCAUCUAAAGCUAAAUAUUGGCGAGAGACCGAUAGCGAACAAGUACCGUGAGGGAAAGAUGAAAAGAACUUUGGAAAGAGAGUUAAACAGUACGUGAAAUUGCUGAAAGGGAAACGCUUGAAGUCAGUCGCAUCGGUUGGAAAUCAACCUUGCUUUUGCUGGGUGUACUUUCCGUCUGAUGGGUCAGCAUCAAUUUUGAUCGCUGGAUAAAGUUCUUGGGAACGUGGCAUCUUUGGAUGUGUUAUAGCCCUUGGACAUAUACAGUGGUUGGGAUUGAGGAACUCAGCACGCCGCAAGGCUGGGGCUUUUGUCCACAACACGUGCUUAGGAUGCUGGCAUAAUGGCUUUAAUCGACCCGUCUUGAAACACGGACCAAGGAGUCUAACAUGCUUGCGAGUGUUUGAGUGGAAAACUCAUGCGCGUAAUGAAAGUGAUAGUUGAGAUCCCUGUCAUGGGGAGCAUCGAUGCCCAGACCAGACCUUUUGUGACGGAUCUGCGGUAGAGCAUGUAUGUUGGGACCCGAAAGAUGGUGAACUAUGCCUGAAUAGGGUGAAGCCAGAGGAAACUCUGGUGGAGGCUCGUAGCGAUUCUGACGUGCAAAUCGAUCGUCAAAUUUGGGUAUAGGGGCGAAAGACUAAUCGAACCAUCUAGUAGCUGGUUC